UCCGCAAGCAAAACCCUACCCUAAAGCCCUGAACUCUGUCGAAUUGAAGAAAAAAAAAAUUCCUAAUCGAAAGAUCGUAAACGCCAAUGUCCGCCGCCAGAUCCGUCUUCCGCUCCGCCGCAAGCCGGGCAUCCGCCGCCGCGUUUAGAUUUUCCGCCGGACCCAAGCCCAUGCCGGCAUCGCCACGGUCCGCUUUUCGGAUGCCUAAACAGAGCCCUCUUUCGAACCGCAUUUUCAGAUCUCCGGUAGAAUUGAGCUGUUGCGUGGAGACGAUGCUCCCUUACCACACGGCUACUGCUUCCGCUUUGCUCAAUUCGAUGCUCUCGGCUUCACGCCGUGGUUGGAUCGUUGAAGGUCUAGACGAGACUAGAUGAAGAUCAAUCAACAAGAGUGAUAUUGCAAUGAUGAUGUAUGAUGAAUUACUGGGGAGAGGUCAACGAUGCACGCAGCCUAAGACAAGAUGGAUGAUGUUCUCACCAUUGCAGUAAUCCGGAAGGUUUUGUUUAAGAGUUAAAAAGACCACUUGUGUUGAUUCUUAAACCAUAAGAGGUGUUAGUGCAAAUGUUUUUGCUAUUUUUACAUUAUAAAAUAUCCAAGCGAAUCGUUGAAUCAAAAAUUUCCUUACAUCCAA
Molecule: RNA transcript, 631 nt
Organism: Eutrema salsugineum
Lineage: Eukaryota; Viridiplantae; Streptophyta; Magnoliopsida; Brassicales; Brassicaceae
Gene name: protein NUCLEAR FUSION DEFECTIVE 6, chloroplastic/mitochondrial
Exons: 5
Source: RefSeq, a predicted model, not a curated record